Molecule: ribosomal RNA, 502 nt
Filed under: uncultured bacterium
Lineage: Bacteria
Description: bacterial SSU rRNA
Rfam family: Bacterial small subunit ribosomal RNA
Source: RNAcentral
AGAGUUUGAUCCUGGCUCAGGAUGAACGCUGGCGGCGUGCUUAACACAUGCAAGUCGAGCGAUGAAGUUUCCUUCGGGAAACGGAUUAGCGGCGGACGGGUGAGUAACACGUGGGUAACCUGCCUCAUAGAGUGGAAUAGCCUUUCGAAAGGAAGAUUAAUACCGCAUAAUGUUUCGAGAUGGCAUCAUCAUGAAACCAAAGGAGCAAUCCGCUAUGAGAUGGACCCGCGGCGCAUUAGCUAGUUGGUGGGGUAAAGGCCUACCAAGGCGACGAUGCGUAGCCGACCUGAGAGGGUGAUCGGCCACAUUGGGACUGAGACACGGCCCAGACUCCUACGGGAGGCAGCAGUGGGGAAUAUUGCACAAUGGGGGAAACCCUGAUGCAGCAACGCCGCGUGAGUGAUGACGGCCUUCGGGUUGUAAAACUCUGUCUUUGGGGACGAUAAUGACGGUACCCAAGGAGGAAGCCACGGCUAACUACGUGCCAGCAGCCGCGGUAAUC